Small nucleolar RNA from Nannospalax galili (Upper Galilee mountains blind mole rat), 106 nucleotides. RefSeq annotates it as small nucleolar RNA U13. The record is from RefSeq and is a predicted model, not a curated record. The transcript has a single exon. NCBI's taxonomy places the organism in Eukaryota, Metazoa, Chordata, Mammalia, Rodentia, Spalacidae.
AUUCUUUUUUGUAGCUCAUAAAUGUGAUGACUGAAUUUUCAUGUUGCUGUGAGAGAUAGGCUUCUUUCAAACCUUCUUAUGACAUCAGAACAUGACUUGCCUGCCA